CAGUAGCCGCGGGAAUACGGAGGGCGCGAGCGUUACCCGGAUUUACUGGGCGUAAAGGGCGUGUAGGCGGCCUGGGGCGUCCCAUGUGAAAGGCCACGGCUCAACCGUGGAGGAGCGUGGGAUACGCUCAGGCUAGAGGGUGGGAGAGGGUGGUGGAAUUCCCGGAGUAGCGGUGAAAUGCGCAGAUACCGGGAGGAACGCCGAUGGCGAAGGCAGCCACCUGGUCCACUUCUGACGCUGAGGCGCGAAAGCGUGGGGAGCAAACCGGAUUAGAGACCCCUGUAGUCCUGUCUCUUAUACA
This 301-nucleotide ribosomal RNA is filed under the name uncultured bacterium. Its description in RNAcentral is "partial 16S ribosomal RNA". It matches the Rfam family "Bacterial small subunit ribosomal RNA", at positions 509 to 809 of the family's 1533-position model. The record is from RNAcentral.